RNAcentral lists this ribosomal RNA (192 nucleotides) under uncultured Glomus. RNAcentral describes it as "partial 18S ribosomal RNA". It matches the Rfam family "Eukaryotic small subunit ribosomal RNA", at positions 558 to 758 of the family's 1831-position model. Lineage: Eukaryota; Fungi; Glomeromycota; Glomeromycetes; Glomerales; Glomeraceae. The record is from RNAcentral.
UGCGUGCUCACCGCAGCCGCGGUAAUUGCAGCUCCGAUAGCGUAUAUUAAAGUUGUUGCAGUUAAAAAGCUCGUAGUUGAAUUUCGGGGUUAGUAGGUUGGUCAUGCCUCUGGUAUGUACUGGUCUCACUGAUUCCUCCUUCCUGAUGAACCGUAAUGCCAUUAAUUUGGUGUUGCGGGGAAUUUGGACCGU